AAGUCGUAACAAGGUUUCCGUAGGUGAACCUGCGGAAGGAUCAUUAAUGAUUUGGCGAACCGAGCGUUAGCGAGGUUUUGCGAUCAACGUAUUUAAAACCCAACUCUUUAUAAUAAUUUAUACAUAAUUUUUAAUGAUAAAAUUAAAGAUCACUUUCAACAACGGAUCUCUUGGCUCUC
Molecule: unclassified non-coding RNA, 179 nt
Filed under: Dominikia disticha
Lineage: Eukaryota; Fungi; Glomeromycota; Glomeromycetes; Glomerales; Glomeraceae
Description: partial internal transcribed spacer region
Rfam family: Eukaryotic small subunit ribosomal RNA (bases 1-46)
Source: RNAcentral